AAAUAGAUACCAGGUAGUCCACGCCGUAAACGAUGAGUGCUAAGUGUUAGGGGGUUUCCGCCCCUUAGUGCUGCAGCUAACGCAUUAAGCACUCCGCCUGGGGAGUACGGUCGCAAGACUGAAACUCAAAGGAAUUGACGGGGGCCCGCACAAGCAGUGGAGCAUGUGGUUUAAUUCGAAGCAACGCGAAGAACCUUACCAGGUCUUGACAUCCCAUUGACCACUAUGGAGACAUAGUUUUCCCUUCGGGGACAACGGUGACAGGUGGUGCAUGGUUGUCGUCAGCUCGUGUCGUGAGAUGUUGGGUUAAGUCCCGCAACGAGCGCAACCCUUGUUCUUAGUUGCCAUCAUUUAGUUGGGCACUCUAAGGAGACUGCCGGUGACAAACCGGAGGAAGGUGGGGAUGACGUCAAAUCAUCAUGCCCCUUAUGACCUGGGCUACACACGUGCUACAAUGGACGGUACAAACGGUUGCCAACCCGCGAGGGGGAGCUAAUCCGAUAAAACCGUUCUCAGUUCGGAUUGUAGGCUGCAACUCG
This 539-nucleotide ribosomal RNA is filed under the name uncultured bacterium. RNAcentral's name for it is "bacterial SSU rRNA". It matches the Rfam family "Bacterial small subunit ribosomal RNA", at positions 776 to 1314 of the family's 1533-position model. The record is from RNAcentral.